AUGGGCGUGCGGGCCUCGGCCUGGCGCCUUCUUUAAGUUAUUAGCGAGCCACAAAUGCCGGGAAGCUCCCUCCCGACCCGGAGCUUGAACUUGAACACUGCCCGGCCUUCGCACACGAUCACACCGCCACCUCCCGGCGCGGCCGAAGAACCCACGUAAUCGCUGUAAAUCACUUAAAAAGUAAAUGCUGGGAUUCAACUGGACCAUGCUGGGCAUGUGCCGUACCACUGAUCUGUACCCGCAGCCCUGCAAGGGCAUCUUUUCAGAAGAAAAGAGCCGGCCUCUCUUUCUCUCUUAGUUCUCAGACCCAGGGAAGAGCCAGAUGAUGCAUGACUGGGUGGAGACAGGGCUUUGCAUGAAUGCUGUCCCUGUUUCCUACAUUUGUGACAUCAGUGGCGAGACAAAGUGGCAGGUGGAAGUGGGAAGGAAUUCUGUUGCAGAUGUUGCUGGAUUCUGAGCCUUAGGGCCAACCCCACAGGUCCUCUCCUACCAACAAUGGCAGGGAUGGAAAAUACUAAGCAUGGAAUAAGGUGGAAUAAACUGAGGGCUUACCAGCUGGACAACAUACAAAACAAAAAAUCAGAUGGUGAUUGACUCAGAUUAGAACAUUUCUUAAAAUUAUUUAAGAGGACCAGUUUUACCUACUUUAUUACUUAAUGCCUACCCAGUACAAUACAGAUAGUUGGACCUGAGCUUGAAUGGUUUUUAACCCAUGGCUUUAAAAAAUGUGAUGGUUCCUACUUCAGUGCUCUCACUGUAGAAUUUACCUUUUUAUUGAUUACCCAUGGUGGACUUGCUGGAGAAAUUAUAUUUAUUAUGCUGUACAAAAUACUGUAUAUGUCUCAGCAGAUUGGUAGAUUGGGAAAUGGAAGAAGACAAAAAUUACAUUUAAUCUAUGCAUUUUUGCCAAGGCAUAAUGAGUUAUUUUACUACUAGAGACGUUAGGAGUUAACUGUAAAAAAAAAAAAGAAAAGAAAAGAAAAAAAAAAGAACCAGUUUAAAAGCAUUUUGUGGGGUACAUCAUUUCUGUAAUUGUA
Molecule: long non-coding RNA, 1037 nt
Organism: Fukomys damarensis (Damara mole-rat)
Lineage: Eukaryota; Metazoa; Chordata; Mammalia; Rodentia; Bathyergidae
Exons: 3
Source: RefSeq, a predicted model, not a curated record